Non-coding RNA from Amborella trichopoda, 130 nucleotides. NCBI's taxonomy places the organism in Eukaryota, Viridiplantae, Streptophyta, Magnoliopsida, Amborellales, Amborellaceae. The record is from Rfam.
GAAAAAGCAGGGAUCUGUUUCUCUUAAGACCCGGCCACUCGUAAGCCUAAGGGAAAUUCAGUGCAUUAUUAUUGGGUGAACCUCUGUAUUUGUGCUGAUUCCAAAAGGUUCAGUAAAUAGUGCAACACUU